CGCGUAGGAACUUACCCAGUAGUUGGGGAUAGCCCGGAGAAAUCCGGAUUAAUACCGAAUAAUCUCUACGGAGGAAAGUGGGCUUCGGCUCACGCUACUGGAUGGGCCUGCGUAAGAUUAGCUAGUUGGUGUGGUAAAGGCGCACCAAGGCGACGAUCUUUAGCUGGUCUGAGAGGAUGAUCAGCCACACUGGGACUGAGACACGGCCCAGACUCCUACGGGAGGCAGCAGUGGGGAAUAUUGGACAAUGGGGGCAACCCUGAUCCAGCCAUACCGCGUGUGUGAAGAAGGCCUCGGUUG
This 300-nucleotide ribosomal RNA is filed under the name uncultured Saccharospirillaceae bacterium. RNAcentral's name for it is "bacterial SSU rRNA". It matches the Rfam family "Bacterial small subunit ribosomal RNA", at positions 114 to 425 of the family's 1533-position model. The record is from RNAcentral. Lineage: Bacteria; Pseudomonadati; Pseudomonadota; Gammaproteobacteria; Oceanospirillales; Saccharospirillaceae.